RNAcentral lists this ribosomal RNA (504 nucleotides) under uncultured bacterium. Its description in RNAcentral is "bacterial SSU rRNA". It matches the Rfam family "Bacterial small subunit ribosomal RNA", at positions 979 to 1482 of the family's 1533-position model. The record is from RNAcentral.
GCUCGAACGGCAAGUGACAUCCGGCGAAAGCCGGCUCCCGCAAGGGCAGUUGCCGAGGUGCUGCAUGGCUGUCGUCAGCUCGUGUCGUGAGAUGUUGGGUUAAGUCCCGCGACGAGCGCAACCCUUGUCCGCUGUUGCCAUCAGGUUAAGCUGGGCACUCUGCGGAGACUGCCGGUGAUAAACCGGAGGAAGGUGGGGAUGACGUCAAGUCAGCAUGGCCUUUAUGUCUGGGGCUACACACGUGCUACAAUGGCAGAUACAAACCGUCGCGAGACCGCAAGGUGGAGCUAAUCGGAGAAAGUCUGUCUCAGUUCGGAUUGCAGGCUGCAACUCGCCUGCAUGAAGUUGGAAUCGCUAGUAAUCGCGGAUCAGCACGCCGCGGUGAAUACGUUCCCGGGCCUUGUACACACCGCCCGUCACAUCACGAAAGCUGGCUGUACUAGAAGUCGCCGCGCUAACCCGCAAGGGAGGCAAGCGCCUAAGGUAUGGUUAGUGAUUGGGGUG